AGUGCUUGAAAAGGUUACCUUGGAAGAAUGAAAUUCAUCAGGCAUUUUUAUCCAACCUUCUUCAAAUUUUAUAGACCACGUUACACCGAUAUUUUAUCACUCGUAGAAAAAUAACGCGGUUACGCUCGAAGGGCAAUCACAGGUUUUACAACGGAACUUUUGUGGAAGACUUCAAAAUGUCAAGGAAGAAUACGUCGUUAAAGCGAGUAAAAACUAAGUCAGAAAUUAUUAGUUUAAGUACUUGGGAUUUCGAACAGAACUCCACAACUCUUUUAAUUCAUUAAUUUAUUAACUACACAUCUUUAUCGUCUUACUUAUUUACACUACACGCACUUACUAUUCGCCUUCCAAAUCUAUUCUAAUCGUCACGUGUCAACUGCCACGAACCGGUAACCGUCUCGCGCGCCGUAAUUUAUCGAAGAUUGCCGAAUCGUUCCGAUUCGCUCGAACGCGCUUUCGGUGACACGCCGUUGCCAUUUUCUAACGUUCCUUUUUAACAACUUUUAAUACUCUUAAAAACGUCUAGUCGUAUUAUUAUACUUGCCACAGGUACAGAAAAUAGUUGUUAAUAUAUAAACAAAUAACUGAGAACUGAUAAUUUAAUGAAUUCCUGUUUAAAAAUUAGGGUGAGUUGACACUUUUCUUUCUUGUAAGCUGUGCUUGUUAUUGUUCUUUCUGUGAGUGUCAAAAGCAUGCAAAUAAUUCAAAGGACGUCCUAUAAUAUAGAACUAAUAUACGACGGUAUAAUCAGCUGUAGUCAAGAAAGUACGAGAAUCAUCGUAAAUUUUUAAAGUAAAAAUGAAAAAUGACCGUCAUGCGAUAGAAAAAGCAGCAAUGACGUAACUCUUGAUGUAACAUCAUUAAUUCUUCACCUAGUUCGAGUAUAACAAGCGCAAGCUAUGCCGAAGAUGGUUUACUUGAAUAUGUAUAAAUGCCAUCGACAUCUUUUCUGCAGCUCGUGUUCCAGAUUUCCUUUAGCGACUCGAUGACAUAGCAUGAAUUGUCUCGGAACGGCACUAAUGCAAGUUAUUUUAUGAAAUCAACGACCGGAUCUGAUUACAGGGAAGUAUUCACACAGUCAAUCACCGCAAAUCUCUUGGAAAUAUACACAUCGAUGUCUAAGUCGUAAUUCCAUGAGAGCAAACACGCUGAUCCGAACUAGCUAAGCAGACAGAUUGUAUAUUUUUUUCUGGGGAAUGAACGAAUGUUCGCUCUUCUGAAAAAUCUUUUUACGUUAGGAAGAAGUAGCGUGCGUUCUAAAGUUAGAUGGUCUACGUUCACGGAGUGAAUAUGUUGGCUUAGCGUAAAAAUAAGCUGAUACGAGGACCAUUUACGACAUAGGGCUGCGAUCACGACGUGAGGAAACAGUAAGUAACACGCGAAUGUGAAAUUUGGAGUUCCUAUUUGGAAUUUGCAGUUUGAAUGCUCAAGUUAAGUGUAAUCAAGGUUUAACUAUUUGUUGUUCGACAGCUACAUAUGAGUAUCACAUUAUGUGUAUAUGCAUGUAUGUAUGGUACAUAUGUAUGUAUGGUAUGUACGUAGGUAUGUUUUAUAUGUAGAUAUAUGGGUUACUUUUAAGUAUAGCAGUUACUUCUUAUAUUACCACAAUUUAUA
RNAcentral lists this long non-coding RNA (1614 nucleotides) under Megachile rotundata (alfalfa leafcutting bee). Its description in RNAcentral is "uncharacterized LOC105662799". The record is from RNAcentral. Lineage: Eukaryota; Metazoa; Arthropoda; Insecta; Hymenoptera; Megachilidae.